Long non-coding RNA from Thalassophryne amazonica, 205 nucleotides. RefSeq lists it as uncharacterized. The transcript is spliced from 4 exons. The record is from RefSeq and is a predicted model, not a curated record. NCBI's taxonomy places the organism in Eukaryota, Metazoa, Chordata, Actinopteri, Batrachoidiformes, Batrachoididae.
ACUGUUUAGCAGCCAGGCUGGAAACCAACCGGCAAGGCCCGUGACCCUUGACCCCUCAGGUGGGAUUGCAUUAAAAACCGUCAUCAUUGUGUAAAGAUCUUACUGCGUGGGCUCAGGAACACUUCAGAAAACCAUUGUCAGUUAACACAGUUUGUCACUACAUCUACAAGUGCAAGUUAAAACUCUACCAUGCAAAGUGAAAGUC